RNAcentral lists this small RNA (98 nucleotides) under Klebsiella pneumoniae. RNAcentral describes it as "partial RtT sRNA". It matches the Rfam family "RtT RNA", at positions 1 to 97 of the family's 130-position model. Rfam says of the family: This family represents a bacterial cis-regulatory element known as RtT RNA. RNAcentral also lists the same sequence under 1 other name. The record is from RNAcentral. Lineage: Bacteria; Pseudomonadati; Pseudomonadota; Gammaproteobacteria; Enterobacterales; Enterobacteriaceae.
UAUUCUGCCCCAUGGGGAAGGAUGAGAAGCUUCGACUAAGGUUCGACUCGAGCGAAGCGAGAGAACGUUGCCGCAGGCAACGGCCCGAAGGGCGAGGC